This 484-nucleotide ribosomal RNA is filed under the name uncultured bacterium. Its description in RNAcentral is "partial 16S ribosomal RNA". It matches the Rfam family "Bacterial small subunit ribosomal RNA", at positions 30 to 507 of the family's 1533-position model. The record is from RNAcentral.
AUUGAACGCUGGCGGCAUGCCUAACACAUGCAAGUCGAGCGGAAGCAGGGGGCUUAGUCCUGCAUUGAGCGGCGAACGGUUGAGUAAUGCCUAGGAAUCUGCCUGGUAGUGGGGGAUAACGUCCGGAAACGGGCGAUAAUACCGCAUACGACCUGAGGGAGAAAGUGGGGGAUCUUCGGACCUCACGCUAUCAGAGGAGCCUAAGUCGUAUUAGAUAGAUGGUGGGGUAACGGCCUACCAAGGCGAUGAUGCGUAACUGGUCUGAGAGGACGAUCAGUCACACGGCAACUGAGACACGCUGCCGCCUUCUAAGGGAGGCAGCAGUCGGGAAUCUUCGAGAAGGGGCGAAAGCCUAAUUUAGCCAUGGCGCGUGUGUGAAGAAGGUCUUCGGCGUGUAAAGCACGUAAGGCUGGGAGUAAUAGAACUAAUUUAAUCGCGUGGUUUAUUGACGUUACCAAAAGAAUAAGUCCCGCCUACCCCCGUG